UUGGCUCAGGAUGAACGCUGGCGGCAGGCCUAACACAUGCAAGUCGAGCGGAUGAGUGGAGCUUGCUCCAUGAUUCAGCGGCGGACGGGUGAGUAAUGCCUAGGAAUCUGCCUGGUAGUGGGGGACAACGUUUCGAAAGGAACGCUAAUACCGCAUACGUCCUACGGGAGAAAGUGGGGGAUCUUCGGACCUCACGCUAUCAGAUGAGCCUAGGUCGGAUUAGCUAGUUGGUGAGGUAAAGGCUCACCAAGGCGACGAUCCGUAACUGGUCUGAGAGGAUGAUCAGUCACACUGGAACUGAGACACGGUCCAGACUCCUACGGGAGGCAGCAGUGGGGAAUA
RNAcentral lists this ribosomal RNA (342 nucleotides) under uncultured rumen bacterium. Its description in RNAcentral is "bacterial SSU rRNA". It matches the Rfam family "Bacterial small subunit ribosomal RNA", at positions 19 to 363 of the family's 1533-position model. The record is from RNAcentral.